GGAGCCGUGGCGGAGACGAGGCGGGACAGGGCGGGACCUUCUGCCAACGGCCGUCAAGUUCCAGACCUAGCUCAGGCUAAGAAGCUAAGCUAACAUGCUCACAGUAUUAAGCUAACAACCCAGCUUGCGGUCACUGCUCCUCGUUCCCGGCGUUCUGAAGCAUUAAGAAAAAAAGAUGGCAACCUCCUCCACAACCUUGACUGUAUGGAUAAUCGGAGACAGCUAUGUCCGGCGUGGAGCCCAGAGAGCUACAGAGACCAUCGGCAGCAACCUUGGCCUCGA
Long non-coding RNA from Trematomus bernacchii (emerald rockcod), 282 nucleotides. RefSeq lists it as uncharacterized. Lineage: Eukaryota; Metazoa; Chordata; Actinopteri; Perciformes; Nototheniidae. The transcript has 3 exons. The record is from RefSeq and is a predicted model, not a curated record.